Molecule: long non-coding RNA, 1275 nt
Filed under: Androctonus crassicauda
Lineage: Eukaryota; Metazoa; Arthropoda; Arachnida; Scorpiones; Buthidae
Source: RNAcentral
GUGUAAGAUAAGCCUUCCACAUACCUGAGAGAGUUUACAGAAUUACAUUGUUAAUCCAAUUAACAAUCCAGAUACAUAUUAAAUGUUCAAUGUUCACAAUGCCCAAUUUCCUUUUGAAACAGUUCAUAGAUCUUUCCAGUUCACUUUCUUCAUCAGCCAUCGUCUGUCAUAUCAUCUUUGCUGGCAAUCAUCUCCAUCGGCUAUCAUCCCUGUUGGCCCAUCAUUUCUAUCAUCUGCCCCGAUGGGAUGAGGUGUUUUUUAUCAUCGAGCCUUACAUUGUUGGUCUUGUCAGCUCACUUCAAUAAUAUCUACCUUUCUCUGCCCUGUCUCUCUCUUGACUGCUUCUCACCUCUUCCUUCCAUUCAAACUCCUGAAUUCCUCCAAAGGAUGUGACUCACCAGUUUAUAUCACUCAGAUGAUGUUUUCCAAUGUUUCGUUUUGCUUCUGUUCUCAAGGUUCGGUUCUUACAUUGUUUUCAAACGAAGAUGAUUCCCAUCUCAAUUUAUUUAUAUUUACGGUAAAUACAGAAGUGGACAAUAAUGAUCAAUGGGAAAACCAGUUUGAAGAUACUAAUUUCCAUUUGUUGAUUUUAACGUAUUAAUGACAGAUUCGAGAGAUUGAACUACAUAAGAUACAUAAAGAUACAGUAAUGAUACAGAUAAAAUUGACAAUACAGAAUUAAAUGGUAUAAUAAUGAUACAAUGGAUAUAAUAACAAUAUACAUCAGUUUAACAUUAUUUGGAAACUAGUAUUUUCUUCUAGUUUUGACAAUAAUAGAGAAGUCUGGAACCUUACACUUCUGUUUCCAUUCUCAUUGUCCUUUAUCCAAUCCAAUUUUAAAUCUGUGUUUAACAAUCCAGUUUUCUUUCCUUUCAGCUUUAAAAAUCAUAAGUAAAAAUUUCAGUAUUGCUGAUCGGUCAAAUGAUGAUAGUCUGGUGUAGGAGCUAUUCCCUUGAGGGACCCAGAUAUCCUCAAGUGCCACUUCAGGUUCCUAAUUUCUGACAAUUAUAGCAAAAUUGAAUCUACAAACAGCCCAGAAAGAUCACUGAAACAUGCAAUCUUCUUGCCAUGUAAAGCAUGUAUUCAAAGGAGAUCAAAAUAUAAUUACAUUUAAAUUUAUAUAAUACAGUGGACUUCCUUAUAAUUCAAUCCCCUAUAAUGCAAAUUCAUGUAAAGUGACAAAAUAUUGUGAAAGUAUUUCUAAUAAUGAUAAAUACCUCAUAAGGAAUUAAAUUUAACAUUUUGACAUCUUUAAAAAAAUUUUUUUUUGGAAAC